Molecule: ribosomal RNA, 440 nt
Filed under: uncultured bacterium
Lineage: Bacteria
Description: partial 16S ribosomal RNA
Rfam family: Bacterial small subunit ribosomal RNA
Source: RNAcentral
CCUACGGGAGGCUGCAGUGGGGAAUAUUGCACAAUGGGGGGAACCCUGAUGCAGCAACGCCGCGUGGGUGAAGAAGUAUUUCGGUAUGUAAAGCCCUGUCAGCAGGGAAGAAAAUGACGGUACCUGACCAAGAAGCCCCGGCUAACUACGUGCCAGCAGCCGCGGUAAUACGUAGGGGGCAAGCGUUAUCCGGAUUUACUGGGUGUAAAGGGAGCGUAGACGGCAUGGCAAGUCUGGAGUGAAAGCCCGUGGCUCAACCACGGGACUGCUUUGGAAACUGUGUUGCUGGAGUGCAGGAGGGGUAAGCGGAAUUCCUAGUGUAGCGGUGAAAUGCGUAGAUAUUAGGAGGAACACCGGUGGCGAAGGCGGCUUACUGGACUGUAACUGACGUUGAGGCUCGAAGGCGUGGGGAGCAAACAGGAUUAGAUACCCUAGUAGUC